AGAAUCAACGCUGGCGGCGUGCCUAACACAUGCAAGUCGAACGAGAAAGUGGAGCAAUCCAUGAGUAAAGUGGCGACCGGGUGGGUAACACGUGACUACCUACCCUUGAGUAGGGGAUAACCUCGGGAAACCGAGGCUAAUACCGCAUAAUAUCGAAAGAUCAAAGGAGUAAUCCGCUUUUGGAGGGGUCGCGGCUGAUUAGCUAGUUGGUAGGGUAAUGGCCUACCAAGGCGAAGAUCGGUA
RNAcentral lists this ribosomal RNA (243 nucleotides) under uncultured bacterium. RNAcentral describes it as "partial small subunit ribosomal RNA". It matches the Rfam family "Bacterial small subunit ribosomal RNA", at positions 26 to 285 of the family's 1533-position model. The record is from RNAcentral.